This 253-nucleotide ribosomal RNA is filed under the name uncultured bacterium. Its description in RNAcentral is "partial 16S ribosomal RNA". It matches the Rfam family "Bacterial small subunit ribosomal RNA", at positions 524 to 776 of the family's 1533-position model. The record is from RNAcentral.
UACGUAGGUGGCAAGCGUUAUCCGGAUUUACUGGGUGUAAAGGGCGUGUAGGCGGGACUGCAAGUCAGAUGUGAAACCCAUGGGCUCAACCCAUGGCCUGCAUUUGAAACUGUAGUUCUUGAGUGAUGGAGAGGCAGGCGGAAUUCCGUGUGUAGCGGUGAAAUGCGUAGAUAUACGGAGGAACACCAGUGGCGAAGGCGGCCUGCUGGACAUUAACUGACGCUGAGGCACGAAAGCGUGGGUAUCAAACAGG